RNAcentral lists this ribosomal RNA (254 nucleotides) under uncultured bacterium. Its description in RNAcentral is "partial 16S ribosomal RNA". It matches the Rfam family "Archaeal small subunit ribosomal RNA", at positions 474 to 727 of the family's 1478-position model. The record is from RNAcentral.
UACCAGCACCCCGAGUGGUCGGGACGUUUAUUGGGCCUAAAGCAUCCGUAGCCGGUUCUACAAGUCUUCCGUUAAAUCCACCUGCUUAACAGUAAUGGGCGUGCGGAAGAUACUAUGGAGCUAGGAGGCGGGAGAGGCAAGCGGUACUCGAUGGUGAGGGUAAAGUACCGUUGAUCCAUUGAAGACCACCAGUGGCGAAGGCGGCUUGCCAGAACGCGCUCGACGGUGAGGGAUGAAAGCUGGGGAGCAACCGG